Durio zibethinus is the source of this 3919-nucleotide non-coding RNA. Lineage: Eukaryota; Viridiplantae; Streptophyta; Magnoliopsida; Malvales; Malvaceae. The record is from RefSeq and is a predicted model, not a curated record.
UUUAAAUUUUUUCCCUUAAUUAGGAAUUAGGGAUAAAAUGGUUGUUUCGAUCUUUUUAAGGUGUUGAUUUUAAGAAUAAAACAAUCAGAAGCUUCUGAGAAGACAAAAGCUUCAUGAUUCGACUGGUAGUCGUCCAAACCGUUUAGAAUUGAGAUGAGAAAACCUUCAUGAUUCUACGUGAUUCUGGAGAAAUUUCUUGAUUCUCGAGGGCUGGAGAAGAACAAAGAAAAAAAAGGGAAUGGAGAAGGGAGAUGGGAGAUCGAGGCGAAGACCACGGUCGUUAGACUGGGUCCGAAAACUCACUAUCAAUCCGGUGGUUGGUGGCUAGAGUGGUUACAAGCAUCCUGAUCGGUAUGGGUUCCGGUGCAAGCUGCUGGACCGCCAGUCGCUUCAUCAUCUCAGCGUAACAUUUUAUUCUUCGAUUUUUUCUUAAUAUUGUUUUUAUAAUACUUUACUUUAAUUAAAUGUUCCGAUGUUCCCACUGAAUGAUUUGCUUGAAUAUUGAAGAUUUUCGAUGUUAAAUAUAAUUAGCAUUAGUAUAAUUAUAAAAUAAUAUAAUUUGCUUGAUAUCUUCUAUAUUCAUGCUAAUUAUAAAAAUCAAUAUUCAAUUAGUUUUGCUUUAAUUAAAAUAAACGUUCAAAAUCUUCAUGUUAAUUAUUGAAAAUCUUCAUGCAUAAAAUGAUUUGCUUCCAUGACGCAUGGAAAUUUUCAGUUGACGUUUGGAUACUUGAUCUAUUUCUUUUUCGGGUUUUAGAGAAUAUGCAGUAAACUCAUGCAUGAUAUAAUACAUACACAAUGAUGAUCAUUUGGAAAUUCCACAAUGUACAUGCAUAUAUACCACUUAAAAUUGUUUGAUAUAAUAUUCAAUGUUUUUCAAUGAAUUCUUAGGAAAAAGAUAAGUGGAAGAGUUCGUGAGCCUGAAACAAGAAAGCCGAUAAGAAACCCCAUAGAAUAAGUAAAUUGGAACAAAACCACAAAUUUUUUUUCAUGGUGUCAACGGAACAGUUGCUUAUGAAUUCAUUGUGGAUUUGAGAGUCUAUAAGCAUGAAAAUGUUGCCAGCCGUAUUCCAUGCUCUAUUCCAUGCUCUUACAAUUCAUGGCCUGAUCUAGCUACACUCAUGAUUUAACCCACUGAAAGUGAAAGCAAGGUAUGAUUCAUUAAGUAUCUUUUCAUUUACCAACAUAUGAUGUUCCUCCUCUCCCUUUCUGACGUCCAUAUUCAAUAUCUUUUGCUGCUGGAGCUGGGUAGUUUCUUUGAUGCUCCUAUCUCCAUUGGGGAAAAGACUGUUCAGAUUGAGAACAUUGAUAUCCACAACAAUGUUAUGAAGGAUAAAUCUAAAAUAUUUUUACAAGGCCAUGGACUUGUGUACUUUUUUAUGACAAAGUUUUCCUAAAAUGUGUAAGUUAUAAAAUGUUACCAUGUGGUUCGAAACGAGAUAAACUGCUUCCUUGAGAUUUCAAAAGUGACAUUUAAUUAGUUUAAGGUUACUAACAUAAAAUCUAAUACAGUAAACUUAAAAAGAAACUUUCAUUUAUACAAUAUUCUAAGUAUUAUUUAAUUUGAUAUACUCUUAGUUUCAAUUAUUAAGUUUAAAUCCUGACAGUUUUAAGUAUAAAAAAAAAAUUAAAAUGUAUGGUGGCAUCCUGACGCAUGGUAGUUCAUGGCCUAUGCUACUCUGGCAGGUUAGUAAUGGUGGCAUCCUUUUUUCAGUUUCUUUUAAAAUUCCUUGUUAAUAGCUGGAUUUUAGGUUUGCAUUUGGAGUGUGGAGAUUUAGAGGGUUUUGCUUUAGAUUCCUCUUAAUGAUUUGAAGGUCCUAUUAAUCUGGUUGGCUUACCUAAAUAAGUAUAGAUAACUAUAACUAUAUAUCCAAAGAAAAGGAGGAAAAAAUUUAGAUGCUGAGGACAUUUGGUCCAUUAUGACUUGUAGUAUACCAGUCUGCCAAACUUUUAGCCAUAGGUAUUGGAGCAUUAUCCACUAUGCUUCGCAUACAUAUAUAUAUUAUAUUUAUAAUGAGAGAGAAGUGGCUGUGAAGGAUGGGGAGAAAAGAAAAAAAAGGAGGAAGUUUUAGUGUUAAAUUUAGGUUUUGGAUGCCUAAAAAUGACAUGGCUUUGGUGGCUGCAAAAAAUAAAAGAGAAAUAAUGGGAAAGAAAAUAAAUGACUGGUUUGAGUUUAAGCUUGGCAAUCAAAGUAUGAAAUUCUGAUACUUGAAAAUACCAGAAAUUGCUGCAACAGCCGUUUCAAUUGUUGAGAAAUGCAUAUCUAGGGACAAGUGGCCUGAGUAGUAUGAUACUAAAAAAAGCAAGGUUUGUUGGAAAACAAUUAUGUUUGUUCCAGACCUUGUCUAUCACAGGAUAUCUUCUGGCAAAACUUGUGUUUGCAGACCCAAAUGCAGCAAAAUUUUGACAACCGAAGAGGAUUCUGAACUUGUCAAUGCCUUCUCCUGCAUGAUCAGUGCUAACCCAAAAAGAAAAGGUGGUCCGAGGAGCGUGAUGCGUUGUAUGAGUUAAACUAAAUUGUGCACAUAUAUCCCUGGUUUGUGUACAUUUGAUUGUCUCUAAUGGCCAUAAGUUGGAAUUGGCUAUUGUAGUGUAAUAUGAAUGAAUGCCAUUUUUCCUUUUGUUUAUUUGAUUAGCAGGAAGUCGAAUUGAGAAGAGCACCAAGAAGCUAGUAUUUCAUGGUAAAAUACUACUAACAUCAAUGUAGCCAGCAACAAAUCAAUAAAUGGAACUGUCACCCUAAUUAAGUGUCUUAAGUUUUUGUUGCAGUCACAAAUUUAACAUUUAAUGACUCACUACAUGAUAUAUGCGAUACAAUUUUGACACGUCUAUACUUUUAUCCCGAUUAAUUUCUCCAAAGCACUUCUGAGCAGGUUCAAUAGAUUUCAUCCACCUGAAGAUGAUAAUGUGUAUGAUAUGAAACUUAGAGAACUUCUGAGCAGGUGUCUCUAAUCUUCUUCGAAGUGGUUUCCAGGAAAGUCUAGAACAAUUAAUACAGUCUGAUGUGGAAAGACAGGGUCCUUCUUCCAUUGAUUGGGAUCUGCAUAGAAACUUGCCAACUCGAGCCCCACUGGAGUGUGAUCUGGAGCAGCGGAGGGAUGAAACAAAUAAUGAUCAGAAUGAUGCUAUUAACAGGCCUUCAUUGGUGCUACUGCUACCUUCUUCUCCAGUGCCACCACCACAACUGCUGCGGCAUCAGGAUUUACAUCACACUAGCUGGUCUAGGCACAGCAUGCACAGAUGAGAAAUUCAUGAAUGGGAGAUGGUUAAUGAUCUAAGAGCUGGUAUGGCAAAGACUCCAGCAGGUCAUGAGCCACAUGCAGAGGAUGUUGGAAGCCUGCAUGUAUAUGCAGCUGGAGUUAAAGUGAUCUGUCAGGCACGAAGUCUCUGCUGCUUUGAAUAGAUAGGUUGGUGAAAAAGGUUUGAGUGCAGAAACAUCCGAGGAUGGAUCUAACAGGGGUCAUGUGAGGAAAGGGACUUGCUGUGUUUGUUGUGAUAACCAUAUCAAUUCACUUUUGAACAGAUGUGGACACAUGUGCACAUGUUCAAAAUGUGCGAAUUAGUUGGUUCGUGGUGGAGGGAAAUGCCCAUUGUGCCGAGCACCUAUUGUGGAGGUAAUCCAUGCAUACUCAAUACUGUAGGGAGAUGAAAGAAGAGAAUGACUGGUAAGGUCUAAGAGAGCCAAUGUCAAUUAAAGGCUCCAAUCUGUAGUUGUUGUUGCUGCUGGUGUUUUUCUGAUUAUGUGGAACACUAUGCGGUGUAUAAUUGGAAUAACAAUUGGCAUCAUUGAUUCAUCAUUCAUGCGUAAAUAAAAUUUCGUCCUUUAUUUUUCUUUUCUUUUUGUCUCCGCCCUCCAUAGCUGGUUCUUCCAAGCCUUCUCCAUUUCAUUAGAUAUCUUCCAUCUUCACAAGGUUAUCAAACA